UCGGACUCAACGCCGGGAAACUCACCAGAUAAGACAGCUGAAUGAUAGUCGGGCUGAAGACUCUACUUGACUAGCUGAUAGGAGGUGCAUGGCCGUCGUCAGUUCGUACUGCGAAGCAUCCUGUUAAGUCAGGCAACGAGCGAGACCCACGCCAACAGUUGCCAGCUCGUCCUCCGGGAUGGUGGGGACACUGUUGGGACCGCCUCUGCUAAAGAGGAGGAAGGAAUGGGCAACGGUAGGUCAGCAUGCCCCGAAUUAUCUGGGCUACACGCGGGCUACAAUGGGUGGGACAAUGGGUAUCGACACCGAAAGGUGAAGGCAAUCUCCUAAACCCAUCCGUAGUUCGGAUUGUGGGCUGCAACUCGCCCACAUGAAGCUGGAAUCUGUAGUAAUCGUGUCUCAAAAUGGCACGGUGAAUAUGUCCCUGCUCCUU
This 433-nucleotide ribosomal RNA is filed under the name uncultured Methanomicrobiales archaeon. RNAcentral describes it as "bacterial SSU rRNA". It matches the Rfam family "Archaeal small subunit ribosomal RNA", at positions 906 to 1338 of the family's 1478-position model. The record is from RNAcentral. Lineage: Archaea; Methanobacteriati; Methanobacteriota; Methanomicrobia; Methanomicrobiales.